AGCUCCAGUGGCGUAUAUUAAUGCUGCUGCAGUUAAAAAGCUCGUAGUUGGAUCUAGGGCUCAUGGUCACGGUCCCUCGCAAGGGGUGCACUGUUUCUUCAUAGCCUCCCUCGCGGCUUGCGCCCGGUUCUCUUAACUGAGUGCCGGGUGCGGCCGGAACGUUUACUUUGAAAAAAUUGGAGUGUUCAAAGCAGGCGCAACAGCCUGAACAGCAGAGCAUGGAAUAAUGGAAUAGGACCUCGGUUCUAUUGCGUUGGUUUUAGGAGUCCGAGGUAAUGAUUGAGAGGGACUGACGGGGGCAUUCGUAUUGCGGUGUGAGAGGUGAAAUUCUUGGAUCGCCGCAAGACGACCGACAGCGAAAGCAUUUGCCAAGAAUGUCUUCAUUAAUCAAGAACGAAAG
This 400-nucleotide ribosomal RNA is filed under the name phytoplankton environmental sample. RNAcentral describes it as "partial small subunit ribosomal RNA". It matches the Rfam family "Eukaryotic small subunit ribosomal RNA", at positions 587 to 989 of the family's 1831-position model. The record is from RNAcentral.